Molecule: ribosomal RNA, 524 nt
Filed under: Leptolyngbya valderiana BDU 10121
Lineage: Bacteria; Bacillati; Cyanobacteriota; Cyanophyceae; Leptolyngbyales; Leptolyngbyaceae
Description: partial 16S ribosomal RNA
Rfam family: Bacterial small subunit ribosomal RNA
Source: RNAcentral
CUGGCGGCGUGCUUACCCUUUGCUAAUCGAAGACCUACUUUCGACGUGGUUUUGCGGACGGGUGAGUAACGCGUGAGGAAUCUGCCUUCUCGCCGCGCCUUACCCCCGGGAAACUGCGGCUAAUACCCCAUAUGCCGCCCGGUGUAAAAAUUGUAAUGCACCGGGCCAGGGGCCGUACCUCCGAUUGGCUUGAAGGGGGGGCAAGAGUUUCCCAAGGGACACCAUUCGUUUGCUGUGUCUUACAGGAUGAACCGCCCCCCUGGGACUGAAAACACGGCCCAAACUCCUCCGGGGGGCACCAGUGGGGAAUUUUCCGACAUGGGCCAAAACCUGAUCCAACACUUCCCCCUGUGUGAGAAAAAGGCUUUUGGGUUGUGAACUCCUUUUCUCAGGAAAGAACAUAAUGACGGUAACCUGAAGAAACGGCCUCGGUUAAUUUCGUGCCAACAGCCGCGGUAUUCCAGAGGAGGUAAGCGUAAUCCGAAAUUAUGGGACGUAAAGCGUUCGUAGGCGGCCUUGUAAGU